CCCAGACACGAUGAAACAAGCUUUCGAUGAUUUAAUAAGGCCUUACAGACCUUGAGAGGGACAUGCUGCAAGCAAAGUUAGACUCAGACUGAGGGCAAAACUGGAUGGCAAUGGCAUUGCCCUGAGGACAAGGAGCACAGCUUGCCUGGAUUCAAUCAUGCAUCCACUUUGGUCUCCAGGGAGUCUUUCUGAAGGAGGCUACAAUAAACGAGACUCCAGGCUCAGGUAGAAGAGGAGGUGGACAAUAAGCCUGGAGUCCCAGACCCUCACUCACCCUAUCCUGAUGUCCCUACUACCAUGAGUGACUGUUUCCCGACCGGUGAAGGUUGAAAAGCAAAGAUAAACCUAGAGAGGAAAGACAUGCCCGGUUCCCCUUAGGCUACGGCGUCCCCGGCUCCUCUAUCCAGACCUCACCCAUCAGGCAGGUGCCCCCGCACCGCCACCUGCUCGCGGCUUCCAGUCUCGCCGGCCUCGGCGUGCUAAGCCCUGUACACCUGCACCUCCCAGGGCUGCCCGCCAGAGCGCGCUGUUGGACAGCGCGAGGAGCCUCGCUAGGGAGAGCGAGCGGCAAGGUCAGGGCCGCCGGCCGGGGCACCCGGGGCUGCUGGGGAGGGCGGAAGGAAGAGGCCGGGGGCUGGAGCGUGGAAGACCCUCGGGAACUCCUGUGUCUUGCUAGAGCCUGGACGUGGUCCAGCCAGGUCUCGGAGGUGCACGGACUUCGGCCUCCCUCCCUUCAGCUGGAGGCGGACAUUGUGCGAGCUGCGCCAAGGGGGCCAGGAGCGCUAAUACGUACGCCUCGGCGGGAGUUCGGCCAAAUGUCCGCGCCCAGCUCGCCCGAGGUCCUGGCCUGGCGUCGGAGUCGUGCGCCCUCGGUGGCAGCGGCGGGUCCCCACCCCCUUCCUUGGCUUGCUCUGGCCUCCACCCAGAGCGCUUCCUCUGUCCCCUGCGCCGCGGUCCAGGGGCUUAGGGUGCCCCCCUGGAGUCCCGCUCCCGAAAGUGUGCACAAGACCAGAGGCCUGAGUGACCUCAAGAAGCCCCCAGAGCUGGGCGUCAGUGUUAGCCCUGGACUCAGGGACUCGUUAAUCCCAGAGCAGGACACACGGGCUCUGAGCGGGACCCAGGGAACCUGCAGGUGUCGGGAAGAGGUGGGGGAACAGCCACCAUCGCUCCCGGGCGCGCACGGCCCUCGGAGCUUCGAGGUUCUUCCGAGAGUGCAGGCCCCACGCUCGGCCUUUCUAGGGCUCACUCGACUCAGAGACAGUCUCCUUAUCCGGCUGCAGGGCGUUGGCCGUGCGCAGCACAGCUAAGCUGCCUGCGAGUUUCUAGCUCUCCACCUGUUUGCCUGGGGCCUGAGGCAGAAGAGGAUGAGGCCUGGGGGCGGCCUGAG
This 1387-nucleotide long non-coding RNA is filed under the name Oryctolagus cuniculus (rabbit). RNAcentral's name for it is "lncRNA (ENSOCUG00000035952.1)". The record is from RNAcentral. Lineage: Eukaryota; Metazoa; Chordata; Mammalia; Lagomorpha; Leporidae.